CACGAGCUUUUGCCUUAUCUAUUACCUGAUGCAUUUCUGUGACAAUAGAAUUCUAGUUUUGAAGCAAGCGGGGAGAGGUGCCAAGAUGGCGGCUUGAACAGACACUUUUUUUUUACCGAGCUCCGUAUCUAUCUUCAGGAAGAUUGUGAAAAGUUUAGUCAUUACUAUUUUUAUUUGUUCAAGAUAUAAGACCUUUCCUGUGACUGGAAUAGUAAUUGGAUAAUUUUUUUCUGCAUGUCCAUGCAAAGUCGUGAAGAAGUUAGCAGUACUAUUGCUAAUCAACAAGAGAGAAACGUGCUUAUAGACAACUGCCAUAACUACUCUUGGCCUAUUGAUAAUAUCAUGCUUUCGAAUGCUGUUGAAGAUGACAAUUUCCCCUCUUUACCGGUUACUCCGUGCAAACCUCCACCCUCCAAAAAACCCAACAUGAACUCUGACAUCGUGGCUACCCUCUCAUCAACUCCAGGUGUGACGCCAUUGAGAAAAUGGUAGGCGCGAACACCAUGGUUAUCGAAAGCUUGAAAAAGACUGGAGUUUGCAUGUGGUGAUAUCAAGGAUGUGAAAACGAGAGUGGCAAAAGUUGAAAAAAGUGUGGAAAGGAAUAACAAUGUCUACCAUAGACGUCUCACUGAUCUGGAAUAAUACACAAGAAGAUGGAACCUGAGACUCUACAGCUUGCCAGAGGUGGAGAAUGAAGAUGUGAGAGGAGAGGCUAUCCGUAUCUGCCAAGAAGUUUUGCCUGCAGAGAAGAACAAAGUUGGUGAUACCAUUGACGUUGUGCAUCGCCUCGGCAAGAAGCAACAGCAAAACGAUUCAAGACCUAGGGGUAUCAUCAUCCUCUUCACUGCCAGAUUCUACAGGGAUGCUGUCUGGAAAGCUACUAGGAAGAACGCCUUCCUUCAGAGCCAUGGUCUGCGUUUCGCCCAUCAUCUCAGCCCGGAGGGCAUAGAAAGAAGGAACAAGUUGUGGCCAACGAUCAAGAUAGCAUGAAAUGAGGGGAAGGCUGCUUACUUCGUCGGAGGACGAGGCUUCAUCAACGGUUCAGAAAUCCAUAUUCUUCCCUAAAAUCUCACCAGAAGGAACAGGUUGAUGGUUUCAGCCAUGAGUCUCACUCAAUUUCGGCUGAUACCAACUUCUGGAGGUCACAGUGAGGCAACGAUAUUUGGCUCUCCCAUGGAUCUGAACGCUCCGCCGGUGUCACUACAAUGAAAAAUACCUUUGGCGGACACCUACACCACCCGAUGUUACAGGAAGGCCAUAAAGAUCAUCAAGGACAACAACCACCCGAGCCACUGCCUGUUCACCCCGCUAUCAUCCAGAAGGCGAGGUCAGUACAGGUGCAUCAAAGCUGGGACCGAGAGACUGAAAAACAGCUUCUAUCUCAAGGCCAUCAGGAUGUUUAACAGCCACCACUAACAUUGAGUGGCUGCUGCCAACACACUGACUCAACUCCAGCCACUUUAAUAAUGCGAAUUGAUGGGAAAUGAUGUCAAAUAUAUCACUAGCCACUUUAAACAAUGCUACCUAAUAUAAUGUUUACAUACCCUACAUUAUUCAUCUCAUAUGUAUACGUAUAUACUGUACUCUAUAUCAUCUACUUCUGCAUCUUUAUGUAAUACAUGUAUCACUAGCCACUUUAACUAUGCCACUUUGUUUACAUACUCAUCUCAUAUGUAUAUACCGUACUCGAUACCAUCUACUGUAUCUUGCCUAUGCCGCUCUGUACCAUCACUCAUUCAUAUAUCUUUAUGUACAUAUUCUUUAUCCCCUUACACUUGUGUGUAUAAGACAGUAGUUAUGGAAUUGUUAGUUAGAUUACUUGUUGGUUAUUACUGCAUUGUCGGAACUAGAAGCACAAGCAUUUCGCUACACUCGCAUUAACAUCUCCUAACCAUGUGUAUGUGAUAAAUAAAAUUUGAUUUGAUAUAUGGAGA
This is a long non-coding RNA of Oncorhynchus tshawytscha (Chinook salmon), 1934 nucleotides long. The record is from Ensembl. Lineage: Eukaryota; Metazoa; Chordata; Actinopteri; Salmoniformes; Salmonidae.